This 465-nucleotide ribosomal RNA is filed under the name Vreelandella stevensii. RNAcentral's name for it is "partial 16S ribosomal RNA". It matches the Rfam family "Bacterial small subunit ribosomal RNA", at positions 338 to 795 of the family's 1533-position model. The record is from RNAcentral. Lineage: Bacteria; Pseudomonadati; Pseudomonadota; Gammaproteobacteria; Oceanospirillales; Halomonadaceae.
CCUACGGGCGGCUGCAGUGGGGAAUAUUGGACAAUGGGGGCAACCCUGAUCCAGCCAUGCCGCGUGUGUGAAGAAGGCCCUCGGGGUGUAAAGCACUUUCAGUGAGGAAGAACGCCUGGUGGUUAAUACCCAUCAGGAAAGACAUCACUCACAGAAGAAGCACCGGCUAACUCCGUGCCAGCAGCCGCGGUAAUACGGAGGGUGCGAGCGUUAAUCGGAAUUACUGGGCGUAAAGCGCGCGUAGGUGGCUUGAUAAGCCGGUUGUGAAAGCCCCGGGCUCAACCUGGGAACGGCAUCCGGAACUGUCAAGCUAGAGUGCAGGAGAGGAAGGUAGAAUUCCCGGUGUAGCGGUGAAAUGCGUAGAGAUCGGGAGGAAUACCAGUGGCGAAGGCGGCCUUCUGGACUGACACUGACACUGAGGUGCGAAAGCGUGGGUAGCAAACAGGAUUAGAUACCCCGGUAGUC